RNAcentral lists this ribosomal RNA (305 nucleotides) under uncultured bacterium. Its description in RNAcentral is "bacterial SSU rRNA". It matches the Rfam family "Bacterial small subunit ribosomal RNA", at positions 337 to 659 of the family's 1533-position model. The record is from RNAcentral.
UCCUACGGGAGGCAGCAGUGGGGGAUAUUGCACAAUGGGGGGAACCCUGAUGCAGCGACGCCGCGUGAGCGAAGAAGUACCUCGGUAUGUAAAGCUCUAUCAGCAGGGAAGAAAAUGACGGUACCUGACUAAGAAGCCCCGGCUAAAUACGUGCCAGCAGCCGCGGUAAUACGUAUGGGGCAAGCGUUAUCCGGAUUUACUGGGUGUAAAGGGAGCGUAGACGGAGGAGCAAGUCUGAUGUGAAAAUCCGGGGCCCAACCCCGGAACUGCAUUGGAAACUGUUUAUCUAGAGUGUCGGAGAGGCA